UUUGGGCUCUUUUUAAAUGGAAACUCAAACCCACGUAGCUUUCUAGCCUUUAAUCUCCGAAGCGUUGAGUUUCGAUCUUCAGACUCUUCCACUUUUAAUCGUCACAACGUUACAGUAAUCCACUCUUCAUCAAUCUAUUAUGCUCUUUAAUCCUUUGAAACUGACUAAGAAGUGUGAACGGUGUAUUUCGAAUACUCCAACAGAUUCAUUUGAAGAAGACCGUGUUGAAGACAAAUCAGUAGCAAAUGUUUACAGAAAACCGACAGUUUACCAUAAUCUGCUGGUAUCUCUUGGUUUGUCUAACAAGGUUGUUUCUGACAUGAACAGAAGAAGGCAGAGAGAGGAGCAAGUUAGAAGCGACACAGAAGAAGAUGAGGAUGACGAAGACGAGGAAAACAGUGCUUCUGAGGAUAGAAGCUCUACAGAUGGAGAGGAUGAUGAGGAAGAAGAUUCUGAGUGUUCUGAGACAGACGAGGAGAAUGAGUUGCUCAGGGUGAUGCACCCUACGGCACCAAGCCUAAUUUAUUUGAGCACUGGAUUCAAUUGUACAAGGAAGCUGGAGGGGAGGAGUUUGGCUCAUCUGCAAGGAGAAGAUUCUUCUCCAUUUGCAACAGCUAUAUGGAUAUUUUGCAUUCUAACAAGAAACCCUUUUACAAUGGAGACCGUGGAGAAGGUUGAUUACUGAAGUUUGAAACUUGGAACAUGAAUCUGCGAGUUGUGUCUAAAUCUCGAUGCUUUGUUUGUUUGUCUCGGUGUCAGACGAAAUCAAGGCUACAGAUGUUGAUGUGAUCCCCAAGAUAUCGUUAUUUUGAUCAAAAUCGAUCCGACGACUUCCGUUAGUGACGUAGCUUCAUCACAUAUAAAAAUAUCAUGACACCUUCUGGAGGCUGUUUCCGAAAGGGUAUGGUGCCAGGUGCCAACACAUCACUCCCAUACCUUGAUGCUUACCUUCAGAUCAGGCUCCGUUUUUUUCUUAUAAAAAUGAUUUGUCUUUUAAGUGUUUAUGCAGGAUGAAGAGAAGCUUAGAAACAGCAAAAUAUGUGACAUGCUUUCAUAGCACCGUCUCAUCGCCUUGCUGAUUUCAUCUUCUCGCCUGGCAACCAUUGCCUGCAAUGGAGUGACAGAGAGAUAGAGAAUAGACGUUAAGCUGAAGAUCACAUCUGAUCUCAGGUUCGUAAAUCAAAUGAAAUAUAACUUUCUUAUCUUUUCUGACUUCAUGGUGGAGAUUAGGUUUAUUAGAGAGCAUCACCUUGGAGAAUAUGUUUCUUUUACUGCCGCUCUCUUUGUUUUGAUUGUGACUUGGAAAUUAUCUUUUCUUAUUGAUUUUUCCUCCAAUACAACACUUAUGUGAGAGUGCCAGUGUUGUCAUCGUAGUAGUAAAGUACGUUGAUCCAGCUGGAGAGUGGCAUGACUUAUUACCCUUCUUCUCCCAUUAUAAUUAGAGUGCUCAUGUAUUUUCCCUGU
Molecule: RNA transcript, 1464 nt
Organism: Raphanus sativus (radish)
Lineage: Eukaryota; Viridiplantae; Streptophyta; Magnoliopsida; Brassicales; Brassicaceae
Gene name: protein NUCLEOLAR FACTOR 1-like
Exons: 7
Source: RefSeq, a predicted model, not a curated record